This 1011-nucleotide long non-coding RNA is filed under the name Triticum aestivum (bread wheat). RNAcentral describes it as "long non-coding RNA (TAES_LNC011588)". Lineage: Eukaryota; Viridiplantae; Streptophyta; Magnoliopsida; Poales; Poaceae. The record is from RNAcentral.
GGAGUGAUUUAAAUGUGUACCGCGGGUUUAUUUACGGAAAACCGAAAGACUUUUUUGCAAAAUGUACGACGGACGACCAGAAACCCAAUUUGCUCCCCCGCAAAGGAAUUUAUUUUUUCCCUUCAUUCAAUUUUUCGUUUCAUUUACAGACUCAACCCUGAUCGACAGAAACAUCUAAGAUCAACACGCUGCAUUGAUUAGGGGGCAAGAAGGUAGCACUGGCAGGACCUAUGGGCAAUUCGGGAUGCACUCGUCCAACGUUGGCCAGCAAGGAUAAUCCUUCAACGUUGCGCAACAGAACUUGUUGUGGACAAGGUCAUACAUCCUCCGAAAGCACCUUAUUUUUGGUGACGAGAUGUGGUCGUUGCUAGUCUCGUCAUCCGAAAGACGAAGACCACCUGAUCUGCCGAUCUCACUAUCUGCAUGAGUAGAGAAGUGCAUUGCAUGCAUGCACAUACAUCAGACGCCAUGCGGCCAAAAAAAUAGAAGAAGUGAAAAGCUGACACAUACAUACGGAUACGACAUGCUUGAAAAUAUAGUAAUCACUUCAUUUUAAAGUGCAACGCUUUCAAAUUUUUAUGCGACAAUUACUCUAGAUGUAUGUAACUUUUAUGAUAUGAAAGCAUACUCGCAAUUAAAUGUUCUGUAAUACGAACCUAGUAACAUCAAAUAUAUACCGGUAAUAGAGUAAUUGUUGGUCAAAAUGUUAUCCUAACUUAUGUAGUGUAUGUUGAAAACGGGUGGAGUACACGUAUUACCAAUUGAGAAAACCAACGCGACCGCGGAGCAUCCAAGGAGCACAAUGAACAAAACCGUCGCUGGCUUGGCUUCCAUCUGGCUAUUGACUUUGCUGAACGCAAUGUUUUGAUCCCUAACCUAUAUGAGAUACUUAGAUGGGUGAUGAACUCAACUGAUGUGCUCAAUCGAGACAGGCCUGCCUAUUUAUAGAUCAAGACACGCCGCACAAAGUAGACUUGGCCUAUUCAUUAAUGACAAAAAUAAAUAAAGAAC